GAAAAGAAAUCAGUUCAGCACUAAGUCACUUUGUCUUUAUGGCAAAUGUGAGAUGCAGUGUAUGGAAUGUUCAAUUUCUAGUAUGAGAAAUUAACGAUUUAAGUCCUUCUUAAAUGAGGCCAUUUACCCAUAGAGGGUGCCAGGCCCGUAUAACGUUAAUGAUUACUAGAGAACAUUUCCAAAGAGUCGUGUUGCUUGAUAGUGCAGCACUAAGUGGGUGGUAAACUCCAUCUAAAACUAAAUAUAACCAUGAGACCGAUAGUAAACAAGUACCGUGAGGGAAAGUUGAAAAGAACUCUGAAUAGAGAGUUAAAUAGUACGUGAAACUGCUUAGAGGUUAAGCCCGAUGAACCUGAAUAUCCAUUAUGGAAAAUUCAUCGUUACGAUUGUGAUAAUAAUAUUAUUAUAAGAAUAGCGUGCAUUUUUUCCAUAUAAGGACAUUGUAAUCUAUUAACAUACCCAAUUUAUCAUAAGAUCAAUGGCUUAAGUUUAUUCAAAUUAUUUUGCUUGUCUUUUUAACAUAGAAUAAAUGCUGUUGAUUUGAUAAAGUGUUGAUAGAUUUAUUUGUAUAUAGUGCUUGAAUAUUUAUAUUCUAUAAUGGCAUAUUAAUCAUUGAUUUUUGUGUUUA
RNAcentral lists this ribosomal RNA (628 nucleotides) under Mesembrina meridiana. Its description in RNAcentral is "eukaryotic LSU rRNA". The stretch from base 1 to 363 matches the Rfam family "Eukaryotic large subunit ribosomal RNA", at positions 95 to 664 of the family's 3401-position model. Lineage: Eukaryota; Metazoa; Arthropoda; Insecta; Diptera; Muscidae. The record is from RNAcentral.